Ctenopharyngodon idella (grass carp) is the source of this 4967-nucleotide RNA transcript. It is a transcript of the gene named tumor necrosis factor, alpha-induced protein 8-like 1, with no coding region annotated. Lineage: Eukaryota; Metazoa; Chordata; Actinopteri; Cypriniformes; Xenocyprididae. The transcript has 4 exons. The record is from RefSeq and is a predicted model, not a curated record.
UAUUCAGGACAGUACUAAAUGAAAAUAACAUGAAUUUUGUAUGAACCCCUCUUAUUUUGUUAAAAUUAUUCAUAUUUUCACAGAUUCUCCAAGGGGGACACAAACUUUCAAGCAGCACUGUAUAUAUAUAUAUAUAUAUAUCAAUGUCUAUAGUGUUGUAUUGGUAUAACACAUCAAUGUUUACAGUGUGGUAUCGGUAUAAAAAGGUAAUCCUAAUUCUCCCUGGGGUAGUCCUGAGCUUGAAACCAAUAGCAGGGAUUUUCACAGGCCUGUCGAGUGCGAGACAAUAUAAAAAGUCUAAAAAUGUGUGAUGACACACUGGUUUCAUUUGCUAUUCUUCUCACGGCUGUUUCGAUGUGCCGUUCUGACACGGCUUCUUUAUUCUAUGCUGAUGCUCAAUCCCCCUCCGGCUGAUACCUGAGACGUGACAGUUACCAGGGACUUAAGUUCUUCAACCUGGCAAAUUCUUUUAUUUUUUUUUCUUCUUUGCUUUUCUCUCCUCUAGAAUGUCCUCUGGGGUCUGAAACCUGCUGUGUUUGUUUUCAGUUAAAAGGAAACGUACAUGUAAAGCAAUUAUUUAUUUAAUAAAUACAUAGCCUAUUUAAAGAAAUCAUUGAUAUUCCGUACGCCUCUCAAGGUUAUACAUUCAGCGACAUUAAAUUACAUCAUAUCACCUUGUUUAUCCUGACUAGAAGUGGAAUUCCUGAGCUAUUAAUAGCUGGCAAUGACAUCAUGCUCGACCCCGAUCACCGCAAUGUCCUUUCACACCUAACCUGCAAAACGCAUGGCUGCCUUCUCUUCUGCCCGUCAGUUGUCUUGGUAACAGCCACCAGAGGUGUAGAAAUGAACAUCUGACCACAAGACAAAGAUGAGAAUCAGAUAUUACAAUCAGCUAGAAGAGGCUUGUAAAACCCACUGCUUUUUAUAAUCAAAAUUGAGCACCAAAAAUGAAAACGGGCAUAGCGUUGGUGCUGCACAGUGUAAAUGUCUGAGUUUAAACACCACAGCUGUUGAAUAGCAUCUGCAGGCUAUUUAUGUUAUAUAGUGUCGUCAGACUUGACAGGUAUCAGCACUUACCCGUCCAAACUGAAUUUCAAAUGAACUGCUGCGUUAUUCUGCUAUUUAUGGCUCGCACUCAGCGUGAGAGUGACGUCUCAAAGCACAGUGUUUGCCGCUGCCGUGAUGUGUUUGGUGUCAAACAAAAGGCCCUCUGACCAGCACUCUGGGACCGUUAGGUGCUACGUGGAUGAUAACAUCUCUGUGGCUGCUUUAUCAAUAACAUUAAACAGUGACUUUUAGAGUCAUGUUUCUGUUGGCUGCUAUACACAAAUAUUUUUAUUGCUUCUAUUUCUAAUUUACUCUUCUUAAAGAUGAAAUUUCUGCACUAUUAGCGUCACCAAAUGGAAUAGAAAAAGCUGUUUUCAAAAUGCAUUGUGUGCCAUACUGUAUCCCAUAAUGCAAUGCCCUCAACUUGACUUUCCCCUUCCCAGUAUGAUGAAUGAACUGUAAAAGUAAUUACAGCCAAAAUUCAAACAUGUUUAUUUUUAAUCAUCAUUUGAUCAAGAUUGCACUUAAAUUAGCUGUAUUUAUUUACAAGACACUAAUUGGACAGCUCUUACUUCAUACAAUGCGAUGAGGUCAUGAGACAUCAAUGAAGCAUACAGUUGUUUAUUUAGCAAUAUAUUACUUUAAAAAUCAGUUUACAGUGUAUACUUGAAGCUGCAAAUUAAGAAACAUCAAAAUCAUGAGUUUAAUUAUCAAGUAACAUACAGAAGGACAAAGUAUACUGUAACUUAGUCAGAAUAAAACUAAGUGUCUGCAGUUGCAAUGUAUGUUGUGUGUGUGUUGGAUGUACUUUGGUUUGAGUUGAUAUGAAUCAGAGACUGUAUCAGGGGGAAAAUUUUUGACCUUUCUCAGAGUGAUCGGUGAGAUUAUGUGGAAAUGAGACAAGAACUGAAACUGAAAAACCAAAAGCAGCUGGGAAUAACAAUGGUAAAAUUUGUAUUUGUGACCUUUCAAUCGUGCAUACUGUUAAUAUAAAUGUCACCUUUGGACUGUAACCAUACAACAAAGAAAAGUGUGUGACUUUCAUGUUAAUCACAUUUUUUAAACAGGAUUCAAUGUCAUAUUUGGUGCAAAAUCAUUAGAAACUCAUAAAACGGUUGAUGCUGCAUAAUUACAACUUGAGUAUGUGCUCUUUUUGGGAACCCCUCCAUACCAGAUAAACCCGAAAUAAACCAAAGACAUGAAGAAGUAUUUUCAUGCUGCAGUGUGCCAGGUUAUUAAUUUUAAAAGUCGCAUCCUCAUGCGUUUUUUUUUUUUUUAGGGACUAGCCCUGCUUGUGCUGCCCCAUAAAGCACUAGAGGGGGAGUCUGCCUCCCCCUGGCAUCCUGCUGUAAAAUCCUGGGUGUAAUUGUAGCGUACUGAGGCAGAACAGGAGUAAUCAGAUCAGUCCCGAGGCUGGGAACAUACAUGGAGAUACAGCAUCAGCACUGGAUUAAACCCCCCACCACGUCCCCCUUUACUGAUUGAGGUACGAUGAGUUCCUGCAAGUAGAGAGAGGGAGAGGGAGCGAGGAAAAGCCGUGAGAGGGAGUGGGAGGAAGAAUGAACCAGAAAGGGAGGCAGCGCAGUGCGAGUGAGCGAGAGAGAGGGAUGGGGAGGGAGUCAAAGGCAGGAAGCGAGCAACAGACAGUGGAACAGAAAUGCAAGGAGUUUGAGGGAGAGGGUGGAAAACAGAGGCCGACCGCCAACGAGAGGACGACGGGAGCGAAGCAAGGUGAGAGAGAAAGAAGGGCAAGGGUCCAGAGGAAGAAAACACACCGGGAUAACAUCAACGGGAGGAAGCAAGACACGGGAAGGUGGGGGUCAGAGUGAAGAAACAUGCAAGAGAAAGUUUGAAGGCAGGGCAGAUGAGAAAAACAUCUCCUGGUAAUGACAAGGCCGGGGCACUUAAAGAAGGGACACAUCCUCUCGAGAGUCCCCUUCUUAGGCCGCAGAAUGUUCUCUGAGACAAAAGGGGUCGGGGAGCAACGCAUUCAACCCACCACCCCAACCCAACUUCAACUACAAAACGGACUACAAAGACCUCAAGCUGACCUCCUUGCCUAUUUUGGGAAUGGGAACCAUGUAACGAACACCUGUGGACCAAAGCAGCAGAAUUCCCCCCUGAAUGGAUACACUGCCAAGCAAUGUCUAGCCGUUCAGGGGGGUCAUGCGCCGCAAAACGUAACUAGCCAGAUUUGUCAUGCCAGUGUGCAGUGGAGCCGGCCGUCAGGGAAGGGUCUGCAACAUAACAGCAUCUCUGUGAACUACAGCUUGAGAGAAUGCAGCUUUGUGGUCCACCGGCACCAGACUGAGCCACACCCCUUCUUGAGGAAGUGUGCUCUGGACGCGCCAACACAGUUCAGAGGUCAUGGAAACUGUGGAGUGCCUGUUUGUGUGGCGGAGCAACAAUCAGGCUCUGUGCGAGGGGCCCUGCUUACAGAGCAACAUGCAUCAAACUGGAUGGAUGCAAGUGACACUCACAAUUCGACCUUUAAUAGGGAACUUUGCACUUCUAAUGGACAGGGAACUUUACGUCGAUGUCUGGGACAUGUAAUGCAAGACUUGAACGGACCUAGUCUGGUGAACGAAGCUAUGCUGUCUACCAAAGAUGUCAACAAACCCAAUACUGUCGCCCAAGGGGAUCUCAAUGGACCAGGACGAGGGAUUUUCAGCUCUAAGCAGUCGGAAAGAGCUAUUCGGGACCAGAUCCAAAGAGUUGUUGUGAAUCUCGAGGAGGUUUUAACUGGCCUGAAAGAGAUACAUCUGGAAAUGAAGGAGGUGGUCCAGAAGAUAGACCUGCUGACGGCUGACAUUGAUAUGGGCAAAGAGGAACCAGGGGACACUUUCAGAGGACGACAGUCAGGAAAGAUGGACACUGAAGCGGCGUCCUCUCAAGGAGUCCACUCCGACAAGCCAUCCUUCAAAACACCAACUCCAUCUGUGUCUCCACCUCCAUAUCCCAUCAGAGAUCAAGGGCUGCAUGAGGCAGGGCAAAAACUGGAACCCAAUCAGAAGAUGCUGAACUCUCAAAGACAUACAUCAGGGACCGCUUCAGGGCGCAGGAGCCAGAAGCCUCCUCCUUACCCUUAUGCCAGCACAACGGCAAGAGUGAAUCCUAAAGCAAAAGACAAAGGGCAGAAGACGCCACCCUACCCCUUUAAACGGAGACUGCUCUCGACCAUUGUUUGAGCAGACCGUGGCCUUAGGAUACAAAGCGGAGCAUUACUCACUAUAUGUGGUAUACCGUGUUACAGGCACCUUUCUGAAAUAAUCAAAGGAUUCUGGCAUACCCCAAAGAUUUUGUGGGAAUUCUCUACAAGCGUGCCAUUACACCAGCUUAAGAAAGUUUUUCCACGGCUGUGUGAACCCUACUGUAAGUAGCAAUAUGCAGACUCACCAGCAGAUUCUGACACAAUGUACUCCUCUUCCUUCAAAGCAACAUCCCUCUGUCCACCCACAGCCGUCUGGGACUGAGAAGAAGAGAAAGCAGAGGAUGAGUGACAAGACAUUAACGGAGAAGCCUAGAGGAGUGGGCUGAAUAACAAAGAGAUCUUGUGUAAAAAAACAAAACAAAAAGAGACAUGAGCCUAUGGAGCGCCUGUUUCAAACAUGCUUUUGAACUUUUCUUAUUUACACCGGGGACAAGGCCACCAGAACGUCACCGUCAUCCCGCUACUGAGAAUGUCAGUGCAAUCUGAAGAUGAAGACCUUUUCACGAAGUCUUGAUAUGCAACACCUGUACAAAAAGGGCUGACUGCUUUUGAUCUGAGAGCGACGAGCGUUAGGAAUCUGAAUUAAGGUUUGAUCUGCGGCAAAUAUCAAUGUCAUGACUGAGGAUAAAUUUUAAACAUGCUCUUCAAAAACCUGUGCCAAUUAUUUUUAAUGCGCAAAGCACACAAAUAAAAAAGUAUCUUCUGAAUA